Molecule: unclassified non-coding RNA, 142 nt
Organism: Papio anubis (olive baboon)
Lineage: Eukaryota; Metazoa; Chordata; Mammalia; Primates; Cercopithecidae
Rfam family: Metazoan signal recognition particle RNA
About the family: The signal recognition particle (SRP) is a universally conserved ribonucleoprotein.
Source: Ensembl
GCCAGGCGUGGUGGUGGGCGCCUGUAAUCCCAGCUACUCGGGAGGCUGAGGCAGGAGAAUCGCUUGAACCCGGGAGGUUGCAGUGAGCCGAGAUUGCGCCACUGCACUCCAGCCUGGGUGACAGAGCGAGACUCCGCCUCAA